This is a long non-coding RNA of Alosa alosa (allis shad), 792 nucleotides long. RefSeq lists it as uncharacterized. The transcript is spliced from 4 exons. The record is from RefSeq and is a predicted model, not a curated record. NCBI's taxonomy places the organism in Eukaryota, Metazoa, Chordata, Actinopteri, Clupeiformes, Clupeidae.
GACGGACGCCAUUGAAGUUCAGCAUGGAAUAGUAAAAGGGUUGGCAAAAUGCUCAUCAAGGUCCAGUACUGUGGACUAAAAAAGUACCUCAAACUGCAGCCUGUUUUUUCUUAUGAAAGUUUCAUUGAAGAAGAAUUUGUGCCAGCAGGUUCUUCUACUCUAAAUUCUUCACUUUUCUGAAGUGAUAUGGAGAGGUCCUCUUCAAACAAGGGGCAUCAAUCUCCUGGUGCAGGAGAGAACACCUCUGCCAUAGGGGAUGCAGCAGAAAAGGCCAAAUGGAUGGUCCAGGAGGUUCUGGAGAAGAGUUCAGGGGGAGAGGAAACAAUGGAGGAGUAUAAGAGAUUGAGCACCGUGACACACUGCACAAGACGGCAUCAUAUCCUGGUCAGCCACAUUGUUGAAAUGCAUGGGUAUGUUUUGUUUUGUAAUGUGAAAAAACAAAGUAGAAGCAUUAUUGUGCACAUAUAGCCUCUCACACAACUUGCCUGCAGCGUGACAAGAAAAACCUAAAUUUGGUAGUAGAAUUGUUGUGUAAAAACAAUUUUGAACUGAUGUUUGUCCUUCUUUACACUUCUCUCAUCUUCUUAAAGGAACUCUGGAUCUCAUUCAUAGUCACCAUUGGGUCCUUGGUUACCUGUCUGACCAAGGCCCCUUUGUCCCAGGAUUACUCAGUUUGGCUUGCAUUUUUGCGGAGAGUUGGAGGAUUUUGUGUAGAUGUUGAUGAAGAUGAUAUGUUUGUUAUAUCUCUGUCAGUCAUCUGAAUAUUUUCAAAUGUUUUUUUUUAAAUGCCCA